CUGAUGAAGGUCAAAGGUGGAACCACUAUGUCAAUGUCUCUUGAGCUUAAUCAGCAUGAUCCUGAUUAAAUUACAGGGAAAUGUUACGUUAAAGCUUGUUGUUUCCAAUUCUGUGUUGCUCCAUAUCUUUAGCAGAAGCAAAAUUUCAGUGUUUGAGGGAAAUUGCCUCUAUUUUACAUUUCCAGUUGUAAUUCUAGUGAUAGGGGUGCAUUCUCCUUAGAUGACAAGAGGUCUGUGAAAGAGGGGAUGGAGGAAAACUCUUAUCUCUUCCCUUGUUUGCGUUCUGAGGCUUUAUUUGUCUAAGUGCUUGGCCGUGGUCUUUGCGAGUAUCCAGGUGGCUGUAGGAGGCUUAGAAGGAACUCAGGAAUCCCUUGACGAUGUUUGGAGAAAUGCAAUGCUUAAUAUUUGCAUCCAGGUGAUAGAGGAGGUUAUCUCGUUCUGACUUUACCAAUCCAAGAGAUCUCUACAAACAAAUAACUGAACAACAAUAACAAGCAAAAUAGCUAAGGAUUUUAUAAGAAAAAAGCACGGGCUUUUUAGACUGACCUUAGUUCAAAGAGCAAGCAAAGACCGUUCCUUUCUUUUUUUCUUUUACGCAUUCAAUCCAGCAUCAUGGAGGUGUCUGGGCCUGCCUCCUCGGCUCCUUUAUUCGCCCUCCUCAAGAAUUGAUCCUACCCAUUCCCUUUCCCUGUACCCGAGUAGCCGUAGGGCACGGCCGUUUUUUUCCAAGUACCGCGACGGAGCGCAUCGACGGCGAUCGAUCUCGGGAAGCAGGUACAGGCGGCACGGGAGGCUUCGUCCGCUCCGCCGAGUGGGAGGCGGAGGGAGUGAGGAAGGAGGGUGGUGGGGAUCGAACAUGGGCGAUGGGCGGACCUUUGGUACGGAUCCUACGGACGUCCGCAUAUAAGAAUAUUAUGCGGAUUUGCUUCUACACAAAUGUUUUAUGCAUCUCUCCGCAAGUGAUUUUUAUAUAGGCAGCGUGUCGGCAUGAAAAGCAUCAGUACACGUCCACAGGAGUCAGGUCCGCGAUGUCCGCAUACGUAUUUGUAUGCGCAAGAAAAUCCGCAUAUAUACAUUAUGCACUUGCCUGCAACGGGGAGCGAAUCCGCCUCCCCGUCACUCGAUCGAGAUAAGACGGGGUCGAUGUUUUCCAUCAAUUACAGCGGGACCAAGAGGUUCAAGAUGGGUGGAAACAGCGGCAGAGGACGCCAGCCAAAG
Molecule: long non-coding RNA, 1218 nt
Filed under: Elaeis guineensis (African oil palm)
Lineage: Eukaryota; Viridiplantae; Streptophyta; Magnoliopsida; Arecales; Arecaceae
Description: long non-coding RNA (EGUI_LNC026254)
Source: RNAcentral